This 429-nucleotide ribosomal RNA is filed under the name Gemmatimonadota bacterium. Its description in RNAcentral is "Gemmatimonadetes bacterium partial 16S ribosomal RNA". It matches the Rfam family "Bacterial small subunit ribosomal RNA", at positions 355 to 776 of the family's 1533-position model. Lineage: Bacteria; Pseudomonadati; Gemmatimonadota. The record is from RNAcentral.
UAGGGAAUCUUCGGCAAUGGACGAAAGUCUGACCGAGCAACGCCGCGUGAGUGAAGAAGGUUUUCGGAUCGUAAAACUCUGUUGUUAGAGAAGAACAAGGACGUUAGUAACUGAACGUCCCCUGACGGUAUCUAACCAGAAAGCCACGGCUAACUACGUGCCAGCAGCCGCGGUAAUACGUAGGUGGCAAGCGUUGUCCGGAUUUAUUGGGCGUAAAGCGAGCGCAGGCGGUUUCUUAAGUCUGAUGUGAAAGCCCCCGGCUCAACCGGGGGGGGUCAUUGGAAACUGGGAGACUUGAGUGCAGAAGAGGAGAGUGGAAUUCCAUGUGUAGCGGUGAAAUGCGUAGAUAUAUGGGGAAACACCAGUGGCGAAGGCGGCUCUCUGGUCUGUAACUGACGCUGAGGCUCGAAAGCGUGGGGAGCAAACAGG